This 254-nucleotide ribosomal RNA is filed under the name uncultured bacterium. RNAcentral's name for it is "partial 16S ribosomal RNA". It matches the Rfam family "Bacterial small subunit ribosomal RNA", at positions 524 to 776 of the family's 1533-position model. The record is from RNAcentral.
UACGGAAGAGGCAAGCGUUAUCCGGAAUUACUGGGCGUAAAGAGUUGCGUAGGUGGCAUAGUAAGCGAGUAGUGAAAGCGUGGGGCUCAACCCCAUACACAUUACUCGAACUGCUAAGCUAGAGAAUGAGAGAGGUAUCUGGAAUUCCCAGUGUAGGAGUGAAAUCCGUAGAUAUUGGGAGGAACACCGAUGGCGUAGGCAGGGUACUGGCUCAUUUCUGACACUAAGGCACGAAAGCGUGGGGAGCAAACGGG